RNAcentral lists this ribosomal RNA (253 nucleotides) under uncultured bacterium. RNAcentral's name for it is "partial 16S ribosomal RNA". It matches the Rfam family "Bacterial small subunit ribosomal RNA", at positions 524 to 776 of the family's 1533-position model. The record is from RNAcentral.
UACGGGGGGGGCAAGCGUUGUUCGGAAUUACUGGGCGUAAAGGGCGCGUAGGCGGCCUGCUAAGUCACACGUGAAAUCCCUCGGCUCAACCGGGGAACUGCGUGUGAUACUGGCGGGCUUGAAUUCGGGAGAGGGAUGUGGAAUUCCAGGUGUAGCGGUGAAAUGCGUAGAUAUCUGGAGGAACACCGGUGGCGAAGGCGGCAUCCUGGACCGAGAUUGACGCUGAGGCGCGAAAGCAUGGGGAGCAAACAGG